UAGGGCUUUUCCCCUAUUUGGAUCAGGGGAACCAGGAAGUCCAGAGAUGGCGCGAGACGUGGUGUUUGGGGAUUGGCUGGCAUCCCCUACUAAUUUCUGAGAAGAGCUGUGAAUUCCUACAACUUCUGCUACCUAAGAUUCCAGCAGUGCUCAGAGUUUCAGAGAAGAGAAUGGCAAGCUGAUCCCCAGGCUCUGCUGUGACUGCUUGCCGGAAGGAGCACAACACUGUUAGAGAAAUGUCAAAAUUCUCCAGAAGUGAAAAUUUCUGGAUUUUAGCCGUUUCAGUGCCAAGACAGACAGCCAGUGAGAGAGGGAACACAGCAG
Molecule: long non-coding RNA, 324 nt
Organism: Ailuropoda melanoleuca (giant panda)
Lineage: Eukaryota; Metazoa; Chordata; Mammalia; Carnivora; Ursidae
Exons: 4
Source: RefSeq, a predicted model, not a curated record